GCCUCUGUGGAUCAAUGUGAGAUCACCUCUCCCAAGUAUGCGGUUUCCAGAUUCUAGUGUAACAGGAGACGUGGGUUCGAAUCCCACCAGAGGUA
Molecule: non-coding RNA, 95 nt
Organism: Mycena metata
Lineage: Eukaryota; Fungi; Basidiomycota; Agaricomycetes; Agaricales; Mycenaceae
Source: the annotation of a GenBank genome assembly